RNAcentral lists this transfer RNA (66 nucleotides) under Megalocaria dilatata. RNAcentral's name for it is "tRNA-Gly". The record is from RNAcentral. Lineage: Eukaryota; Metazoa; Arthropoda; Insecta; Coleoptera; Coccinellidae.
AUUUAUAUAGUAUAAAAAUUACAAUUGAUUUCCAAUCAAAAAAUCUAUUAUUAACUAGUAUAAAUA